RNAcentral lists this unclassified non-coding RNA (552 nucleotides) under Hevea brasiliensis (rubber tree). Lineage: Eukaryota; Viridiplantae; Streptophyta; Magnoliopsida; Malpighiales; Euphorbiaceae. The record is from RNAcentral.
CAAAACCCUUAUCCAUUUUGAAAGCUCUUCUCACUCGUCAUGUCCCCUCGCUUAAACCAUCAAAAUCCAAACUUUUAAACCCCAUGAUUGUUCUUGGUUUUCUCUCUGCAGUUCGACACUAGAACGAUUUUAUCCGCUGUCUAGCUAGUUGAAUAAAAAAAAUGGCAUCUUUCUUAGCAACUUGGCUUUACCAAGAUAGAGGACUGAGGGAUACAGUUUGUGCAGAUAGCUUUGUUACUGGGAAGCCAGGCUACAGUCAUCUGCAGACAGCAUUUGUAGGUUCAUUUUCAACUGGAAUUUUGCAAGUUCAGUUUGGCUCUAAAGCAUUUCUGAAGGCUCCAUUACUUCCUUGUAUAAAGUGUGAGAAGAAGGAUGAAUACAUCGAACAUGUGUCUGUUGAACGCCCUCCUUACCAUAGUUAUAUGGACUCCACAUCUGGGCAACUUGAGCCAGCAUCUGGUGCUCGUGCUAGCAUUCCAGGACAGGAGUACUGGCCAGAAGGCACUGCUGAUCGAGUUAGGGCUGCCAGGGCUCCUGAACCAACAGGCACGU